UACAGAGGUCUCAAGCGUUGUUCGGAUUCAUUAGGCGUAAAGGGUGCGUAGGCGGCGCGGUAAGUCGGGUGUGAAAUCUCGGAGCUUAACUCCGAAACUGCAUUCGAUACUGCCGUGCUUGAGGACUGGAGAGGAGACUGGAAUUUACGGUGUAGCGGUGAAAUGCGUAGAUAUCGGGAGGAACACCUGUGGCGAAAGCGGCUCACUGGACCACAACUGACGCUGAGGCGCGAAAGCUAGGGGAGCAAACAGG
Molecule: ribosomal RNA, 253 nt
Filed under: uncultured bacterium
Lineage: Bacteria
Description: partial 16S ribosomal RNA
Rfam family: Bacterial small subunit ribosomal RNA
Source: RNAcentral